ACCUUUGAAGCCUCUAGAUAAUUCACCUUAAAAAGCCAAUUUUACACAGCUGCUUUCUUCUGGAAAUCAUGCCUCAUUUGAAGCCUUUUGUCUCCCAGCUCCAGUUCCUUAUCCUUCUAAUCUGAGUACAACAGUGUCUUAUCAGAAAGAGCUCCAGGAAGAGCUUGCUUCAAGAGAGAGGAUGCGGACAGAACCUUAAAUGUCAGGGAUAAAUAAAAUUGAUUGUAACUUUUGAAAGAAAAGUGUC
RNAcentral lists this long non-coding RNA (247 nucleotides) under Bos indicus x Bos taurus (hybrid cattle). RNAcentral's name for it is "lncRNA (ENSBIXG00000019615.1)". Lineage: Eukaryota; Metazoa; Chordata; Mammalia; Artiodactyla; Bovidae. The record is from RNAcentral.